RNAcentral lists this small RNA (254 nucleotides) under Arabidopsis thaliana (thale cress). Its description in RNAcentral is "ATSL099930". Lineage: Eukaryota; Viridiplantae; Streptophyta; Magnoliopsida; Brassicales; Brassicaceae. The record is from RNAcentral.
UUUAUAUUUUCAUUUUGAUAGUAGGAGAAGCAAAAACGUGUUCUGAUGGAUGGACUUGUGUAGGAGAAGACAAAUGCAAAGUAAACUGCAUGGCUAAACACAAAGGAGUUGGAACAUGUACUUUGUAUAUUAUUCCUUCUUUCCCUGCUCCGAUAACUUCUUAUAUUUGCGAUUGCAUGUUUGAUUGCUAACCUUUCUGUUCAAACUAUCUUUGUAAACUAUUAAAUCUUAUGAUAAAGGAAUAAAUUAAAAAU